GAUGAACGCUGGCGGCGUGCUUAACACAUGCAAGUCGAACGGAAAGGCCGAAGCUUGCUUCGGUACUCGAGUGGCGAACGGGUGAGUAACACGUGGGUGAUCUGCCCUGCACUUUGGGAUAAGCCUGGGAAACUGGGUCUAAUACCAGAUAGGACCACGUCUUGGAUGGUGUAGUGGAAAGUUUUUUCGGUGUGGGAUGAGCUCGCGGCCUAUCAGCUUGUUGGUGGGGUAAUGGCCUACCAAGGCGUCGACGGGUAGCCGGCCUGAGAGGGUGUACGGCCACAUUGGGACUGAGAUACGGCCCAGACUCCUACGGGAGGCAGCAGUGGGGAAUAUUGCACAAUGGGCGCAAGCCUGAUGCAGCGACGCCGCGUGGGGGAUGACGGCCUUCGGGUUGUAAACUCCUUUCGCCAGGGACGAAGCGUAAGUGACGGUACCUGGAUAAGAAGCACCGGCUAACUACGUGCCAGCAGCCGCGGUAAUACGUAGGGUGCGAGCGUUGUCCGGAAUUACUGGGCGUAAAGAGCUCGUAGGUGGUUUGUCGCGUCGUUUGUGUAAUACCGCAGCUUAACUGCGGGGUUGCAGGCGAUACGGGCAUAACUUGAGUGCUGUAGGGGAGACUGGAAUUCCUGGUGUAGCGGUGGAAUGCGCAGAUAUCAGGAGGAACACCGAUGGCGAAGGCAGGUCUCUGGGCAGUAACUGACGCUGAGGAGCGAAAGCAUGGGUAGCGAACAGGAUUAGAUACCCUGGUGGUCCAUGCCGUAAACGGUGGGCGCUAGGUGCGAGUCCCUUCCACGGGGUUCGUGCCGUAGCUAACGCAUUAAGCGCCCCGCCUGGGGAGUACGGCCGCAAGGCUAAAACUCAAAGGAAUUGACGGGGGCCCGCACAAGCGGCGGAGCAUGUGGAUUAAUUCGAUGCAACGCGAAGAACCUUACCUGGGCUUGACAUGCACCGGAUCGCUGCAGAGAUGUAGUUUCCCUUGUGGCUGGUGUACAGGUGGUGCAUGGUUGUCGUCAGCUCGUGUCGUGAGAUGUUGGGUUAAGUCCCGCAACGAGCGCAACCCUUGUCUUAUGUUGCCAGCAUUUGGUUGGGGACUCAUGAGAGACUGCCGGGGUUAACUCGGAGGAAGGUGGGGAUGACGUCAAAUCAUCAUGCCCCUUAUGUCCAGGGCUUCACACAUGCUACAAUGGUCGGUACAACGCGCAGCUACUUCGUGAGGAGGCGCUAAUCGCUGAAAGCCGGUCUUAGUUCGGAUUGGGGUCUGCAACUCGACCCCAUGAAGUCGGAGUCGCUAGUAAUCGUAGAUCAGCAACGCUGCGGUGAAUACGUUCCCGGGCCU
This 1339-nucleotide ribosomal RNA is filed under the name uncultured bacterium. RNAcentral describes it as "bacterial SSU rRNA". It matches the Rfam family "Bacterial small subunit ribosomal RNA", at positions 28 to 1381 of the family's 1533-position model. The record is from RNAcentral.